This 497-nucleotide ribosomal RNA is filed under the name uncultured bacterium. RNAcentral's name for it is "partial 16S ribosomal RNA". It matches the Rfam family "Bacterial small subunit ribosomal RNA", at positions 28 to 507 of the family's 1533-position model. The record is from RNAcentral.
GAUGAACGCUGGCGGCGUGCCUAAUACAUGCAAGUCGAGCGAACAGGCGAGGAGCUUGCUCCUCUGACGUUAGCGGCGGACGGGUGAGUAACACGUGGAUAACCUACCUAUAAGACUGGGAUAACUUCGGGAAACCGGAGCUAAUACCGGAUAAUAUAUUGAACCGCAUGGUUCAAUAGUGAAAGACGGUUUUGCUGUCACUUAUAGAUGGAUCCGCGCCGCAUUAGCUAGUUGGUAAGGUAACGGCUUACCAAGGCAACGAUGCGUAGCCGACCUGACAGGGUGAUCGGCCACACUGGAACUGAGACACGGUCCAGACUCCUACGGGAGGCAGCAGUAGGGAAUCGUCCGCAGUGGGCGAAAGCCUGACGGAGCAACGCCGCGUGAGUGAUGAAGGUCUUCGGAUCGUAAAACUCUGUUAUUAGGGAAGAACAAAUGUGUAAGUAACUAUGCACGUCUUGACGGUACCUAAUCAGAAAGCCACGGCUAACUACGUG